GCUUGUCUCAAAGAUUAAGCCAUGCAUGUCUCAGUAUAAGCUUUUACACGGCGAAACUGCGAAUGGCUCAUUAAAACAGUUAUCGUUUCUUUGGUGGUUAUUGAUUACAUGGAUAACCGUGGUAAUUCUAGAGCUAAUACAUGCAUAAAACCCUAACUUCUGGAAAGGGUGUAUUUAUUAGAUGGAAACCAAUGCGGGGUAACCCGGAAUAUGGUGAUUCAUAAUAACUUUCGGAUCGAUUUAUCGAUGCAUCAUUCAAGUUUCUGCCCUAUCAGCUUUGGAUGGUAGGGUAUUGGCCUACCAUGGCUUUAACGGGUAACGGAGAAUUAGGGUUCGAUUCCGGAGAGGGAGCCUGAGAAACGGCUACCACAUCCAAGGAAGGCAGCAGG
Molecule: ribosomal RNA, 389 nt
Filed under: uncultured Chrysophyceae
Lineage: Eukaryota; Chrysophyceae
Description: partial small subunit ribosomal RNA
Rfam family: Eukaryotic small subunit ribosomal RNA
Source: RNAcentral